CCUACGGGGGGCUGCAGUAGGGAAUAUUGGGCAAUGGACGCAAGUCUGACCCAGCCACGCCGCGUGAAGGAUGACUGCCCUAUGGGUUGUAAACUUCUUUUGUAUGGGAAGAAACCUCCGAACGUGUUCGGAGCUGACGGUACCAUAAGAAUAAGCAUCGGCUAACUCCGUGCCAGCAGCCGCGGUAAUACGGAGGAUGCAAGCGUUGUUGGGAUUCAUGGGGUCGAAGGCGUACGAUGAAGGCGGUGGUGAAAGCUCGCAGCUUAACUGUGAAAAUGCCAUUGAAACUGAUUUUCUUGAGUUCGAUUGAGGUAGAUGGAAUGUAUCAUGUAGCGGUGAAAUGCUUAGAUAUGAUACAGAACACCAAUUGCGAAGGCAGUCUACUAAGUCGAUACUGACGCUGAGGCACGAAAGCAUGGGGAGCAAACAGGAUUAGAUACCCGAGUAGUC
This 450-nucleotide ribosomal RNA is filed under the name uncultured bacterium. RNAcentral's name for it is "partial 16S ribosomal RNA". It matches the Rfam family "Bacterial small subunit ribosomal RNA", at positions 338 to 795 of the family's 1533-position model. The record is from RNAcentral.